AGCGUUCGCUUCACACGCGAGAGG
Molecule: transfer RNA, 24 nt
Filed under: Micrococcus luteus
Lineage: Bacteria; Bacillati; Actinomycetota; Actinomycetes; Micrococcales; Micrococcaceae
Description: tRNA-Ala
Source: RNAcentral